Molecule: ribosomal RNA, 301 nt
Filed under: uncultured bacterium
Lineage: Bacteria
Description: partial 16S ribosomal RNA
Rfam family: Bacterial small subunit ribosomal RNA
Source: RNAcentral
CAGUAGCCGCGGUAAAACGGAGGGUGCGAGCGUUAAUCGGAAUUACUGGGCGUAAAGCGUACGCAGGCGGUUUGUUAAGUCAGAUGUGAAAUCCCCGAGCUUAACUCGGGAACUGCAUUUGAAACUGGCAGGCUAGAGUCUCGUAGAGGGGGGUAGAAUUCCAGGUGUAGCGGUGAAAUGCGUAGAGAUCUGGAGGAAUACCGGUGGCGAAGGCGGCCCCCUGGACAGAGACUGACGCUCAGGUGCGAAAGCGUGGGGAGCAAACAGGAUUAGAUACCCCUGUAGUCCCUGUCUCUUAUAC